Pan troglodytes (chimpanzee) is the source of this 1150-nucleotide RNA transcript. It is a transcript of the gene named DnaJ heat shock protein family (Hsp40) member C15, with no coding region annotated. The transcript is spliced from 8 exons. The record is from RefSeq and is a predicted model, not a curated record. Lineage: Eukaryota; Metazoa; Chordata; Mammalia; Primates; Hominidae.
GGCUUUGCGCCUGUGAGUGUGAUUCAAGAACGUCCCAGUGCCCUUGGCUCUUUUCGGAGUGUGACCCCGGGCUUGCACGGGACACGUUACCCAGCUCGGGUGAGAAGGGUAUCUUCCGGGACCCUCGCCUUUAAUAGCACAACGAGCGCAGAGUCCACUGGAUCUGCGAGAAGAAACCGCGCUAACUAGUUUGUCCCUACGGCCGCCUCGUAGUCACUGCCGCGACGCCUUGAGUCUCCGCGCCGCAUUGCCAUGGCUGCCCGUGGUGUCAUCGCUCCAGUUGGCGAGAGUUCGCGCUACGCUGAGUACUUGCAGCCCUCGGCCAAACGGCCCGACGCCGACGUCGACCAGCAGGGACUGGUAAGAAGUUUGAUAGCUGUAGGACUGGGUGUUGCAGCUCUUGCAUUUGCAGGUCGCUACGCAUUUCGGAUCUGGAAACCUCUAGAACAAGUUAUCACAGAAACUGCAAAGAAGAUUUCAACUCCUAGCUUUUCAUCCUACUAUAAAGGAGGAUUUGAACAGAAAAUGAGUAGGCGAGAAGCUGGUCUUAUUUUAGGUGUAAGCCCAUCUGCUGGCAAGGCUAAGAUUAGAACAGCUCAUAGGAGAGUCAUGAUUUUGAAUCACCCAGAUAAAGCCUUUUUGUAUCUCUCUUGUUGGUUUGUCUCUUCCAAGCAGAAUGCAGUCGUUUUAAGUGUGACAAUUUUAGACUUUUAAUGCCUCAAGAAGCAUUGCAGCUUCAGCUCUUACCUUCUUAGAUCCUUGAGUCCACCAAGUGAAGAAGACUAAGCUCUCCUCCUGACGGAAGAAACACCAAGUAGAGAGAGGCCUAGCUAUCCCAGCUUAGGCCCUAGUGAGGCCAUCCUGGACUACCCAGCUCAGAAUAACCACUCUACCAAUCCACAGAAAAGUGGAUCUCCUUACGUAGCAGCCAAAAUAAAUGAAGCAAAAGACUUGCUAGAAACAACCACCAAACAUUGAUGCUUAAGGACCACACUGAAGGAAAAAAAAAGAGGGGACUUCAAAAAAAAAAAAAAAGCCCUGCAAAAUAUUGUAAAACACGGUCUUCUUAAUUUUCUAUAUGGAUUGACCACAGUCUUAUCUUCCACCAUUAAGCUGUAUAACAAUAAAAUGUUAAUAGUCUUGCUUUUUA